GAGGGGAAACGUCAGAGGGGAGGCAGAGCGACAAGGCAGCUCGCCGUCGACUCUGGCCUCAGUGUCCACUUAGCCGUCGGUGGGGAAGGAUACAUUUGUAGUAACUCUAUAAAACAUCUGAAUAGUCAUUUUAAUCAAAGAAGAUAAAUAAGAAAACGCUUUUGUAAGUACACAGAGUGAAGAGUUUUUCGGUAGUGAGGUAACUGAUGUUCAUUGCCUUAAAACAAAAAAACACAAACAGUGUAAAAGACCGCAUUUUAACGCACGGUUCUUGAGAAACAAAGAAAAAAAAAAGACAACGAAAAUAAGUACUUUCCAAAGACAAAAAAACAACAACAACAAACAUUAAUUAAGACCAUUAAAAAAAAAAAAAGUACGACCAGUGCUACAAGACUUAACAUAGUGUAUUCGUCGAUACGGUUGGACUCAUCACGUGUACUGACCCAAGCUUACGACCAUACCUACGACCCUAUAUAUAACGACCAUACCUUCGCCCAUAUAUACGACUACAUCUACGACCACCAUGCUCUCCUUAAUACGCACACUUCUGACGGUGGCCCUACUGUCCUCUACAGGUAUGCAUUUGCCGCUUGC
This is a long non-coding RNA of Penaeus indicus, 594 nucleotides long. RefSeq lists it as uncharacterized. The record is from RefSeq and is a predicted model, not a curated record. The transcript has 3 exons. Lineage: Eukaryota; Metazoa; Arthropoda; Malacostraca; Decapoda; Penaeidae.